Apis florea (little honeybee) is the source of this 364-nucleotide long non-coding RNA. NCBI's taxonomy places the organism in Eukaryota, Metazoa, Arthropoda, Insecta, Hymenoptera, Apidae. The record is from RefSeq and is a predicted model, not a curated record.
UAAUAUAAUAUAAUAAUAUCAUAAUUUUAAUAUCAUAAAAUUAUUUUCUAGCUUUGUUAUCCGCUUUAAGCCGUGGGACGGAUUUAAUUCCUUCGGAUGUAAUCGCAGGACUCAUCUUGUUAAGAGUUCAAGAAAAGCGAGAGCGUCAUGAAUUACAUCGAAUAAAUUUAUCCCCUACUCCAGUACGCACUUCCGACGCAGCUGUAAUUUUUAAAAAUAUGCCAAAAUGGAUGUCCUUGGAAAAUGCAAUUCACUACAUGAUGCUUUCAGAAGCCAUUUACGGAUGGUUAUUUAUGUUAUAUUUACAUAAAUGUUCUGGAUGUUUUUAUCUUAUGAAAAAUUUGACUUGUUGCGCUUGUUUUCG